GGAUUAGAUACCCUGGUAGUCCACGCUGUAAACGUUGGAUACUAGGUGUUGGUCUACGUUUAGUGGAGCAGUGCCGAAGCUAACGCAUUAAGUAUCCCGCCUGGGGAGUACGAUCGCAAGGUUGAAACUCAAAGGAAUUGACGGGGACCCGCACAAGCGGUGGAGCAUGUGGUUUAAUUCGACGCAACGCGCAGAACCUUACCCAGGUUGGAAACCCCUGGAAUCUGCUAGAGAUAGUGGAGUGCCUCUUUGAGGAGCCGGGUGUCCAGGUGCUGCAUGGCUGUCGUCAGCUCGUGCCG
This 299-nucleotide ribosomal RNA is filed under the name uncultured bacterium. RNAcentral's name for it is "partial 16S ribosomal RNA". It matches the Rfam family "Bacterial small subunit ribosomal RNA", at positions 775 to 1067 of the family's 1533-position model. The record is from RNAcentral.